AGGACGAACGCUGGCGGCGUGCCUAACACAUGCAAGUGGAGCGACGAACCGGACUUCGGUCCGGGGCCAAGCCGCGAACGGGUGAGUAACACGUGGGUAACCUGCCCUGAUGAUUGGGACAACCCGAGGAAACUCGGGCUAAUACCGAAUGUGCCCUCUGGCCGUAAGGCCUCUGGGGAAAGGAAGCUUCGGCCUCCGCAUUGGGAUGGGCCCGCGGCCCAUUAGCUUGUUGGUGAGGUAACGGCUCACCAAGGCAACGAUGGGUAGCUGGUCUGAGAGGACGAUCAGCCACACUGGGACUGAGACACGGCCCAGACUCCUACGGGAGGCAGCAGUGGAGAAUCUUGCGCAAUGCGCGAAAGCGUGACGCAGCAACGCCGCGUGGGGGAAGAAGGCCUUCGGGUUGUAAACCCUUUCAGUUGGGACGAAGCUUCGGCGGUGAAUAGCCGCCUGGAGUGACGGUACCUUCAGAAGAAGCCCCGGCUAACUACGUGCCAGCAGCCGC
This 505-nucleotide ribosomal RNA is filed under the name uncultured bacterium. Its description in RNAcentral is "SSU rRNA". It matches the Rfam family "Bacterial small subunit ribosomal RNA", at positions 26 to 518 of the family's 1533-position model. The record is from RNAcentral.